This 437-nucleotide ribosomal RNA is filed under the name Rhodotorula mucilaginosa. Its description in RNAcentral is "eukaryotic LSU rRNA". It matches the Rfam family "Eukaryotic large subunit ribosomal RNA", at positions 130 to 563 of the family's 3401-position model. Lineage: Eukaryota; Fungi; Basidiomycota; Microbotryomycetes; Sporidiobolales; Sporidiobolaceae. The record is from RNAcentral.
UUCGGUGUCCGAGUUGUAAUCUCUAGAAAUGUUUUCCGCGUUGGACCGCACACAAGUCUGUUGGAAUACAGCGGCAUAGUGGUGAGACCCCCGUAUAUGGUGCGGACGCCCAGCGCUUUGUGAUACAUUUUCGAAGAGUCGAGUUGUUUGGGAAUGCAGCUCAAAUUGGGUGGUAAAUUCCAUCUAAAGCUAAAUAUUGGCGAGAGACCGAUAGCGAACAAGUACCGUGAGGGAAAGAUGAAAAGCACUUUGGAAAGAGAGUUAACAGUACGUGAAAUUGUUGGAAGGGAAACGCUUGAAGUCAGACUUGCUUGCCGAGCAAUCGGUUUGCAGGCCAGCAUCAGUUUUCCGGGAUGGAUAAUGGUAGAGAGAAGGUAGCAGUUUCGGCUGUGUUAUAGCUCUCUGCUGGAUACAUCUUGGGGGACUGAGGAACGCAG